GAUGAACGCUGGCGGCGUGCCUAAUACAUGCAAGUCGAGCGAACAGACGAGGAGCUUGCUCCUCUGACGUUAGCGGCGGACGGGUGAGUAACACGUGGAUAACCUACCUAUAAGACUUGGAUAACUUCGGGAAACCGGAGCUAAUACCGGAUAAUAUAUUGAACCGCAUGGUUCAAUAGUUAAAGACGGUUUUGCUGUCACUUAUAGAUGGAUCCGCGCCGCAUUAGCUAGUUGGUAAGGUAACGGCUUACCAAGGCAACGAUGCGUAGCCGACCUGAGAGGGUGAUCAGCCACACUGGAACUGAGACACGGUCCAGACUCCUACGGGAGGCAGCAGUAGGGAAUCUUGCGCAAUGGGCGAAAGCCUGACGGAGCAACGCCGCGUGAGUGAUGAAGGUCUUCGGAUCGUAAAACUCUGUUAUUAGGGAAGAACAAAUGUGUAAGUAACUAUGCACGUCUUGACGGUACCUAAUCAGAAAGCCACGGCUAACUACGUG
Molecule: ribosomal RNA, 497 nt
Filed under: uncultured bacterium
Lineage: Bacteria
Description: partial 16S ribosomal RNA
Rfam family: Bacterial small subunit ribosomal RNA
Source: RNAcentral